GCAGUAGCCACGGUAAUACAGAGGGUGCGAGCGUUAAUCGGAUUUACUGGGCGUAAAGCGUGCGUAGGCGGCUUCUUAAGUCGGAUGUGAAAUCCCUGAGCUUAACUUAGGAAUUGCAUUCGAUACUGGGAAGCUAGAGUAUGGGAGAGGAUGGUAGAAUUCCAGGUGUAGCGGUGAAAUGCGUAGAGAUCUGGAGGAAUACCGAUGGCGAAGGCAGCCAUCUGGCCUAAUACUGACGCUGAGGUACGAAAGCAUGGGGAGCAAACAGGAUUAGAUACCCCCGUAGUCCCUGUCUCUUAUAA
This 302-nucleotide ribosomal RNA is filed under the name uncultured bacterium. RNAcentral describes it as "partial 16S ribosomal RNA". It matches the Rfam family "Bacterial small subunit ribosomal RNA", at positions 508 to 809 of the family's 1533-position model. The record is from RNAcentral.